RNAcentral lists this unclassified non-coding RNA (230 nucleotides) under plant metagenome. Its description in RNAcentral is "partial contains small subunit ribosomal RNA, internal transcribed spacer 1, and 5.8S ribosomal RNA". The record is from RNAcentral.
UCUCCGUAGGUGAACCUGCGGAGGGAUCAUUACAGAGUUCAUGCCCUCCGGGUAGAUCUCCCACCCAUUGCUAUAACUACUCUCGUUGCUUUGGCGGGCCGCUGGGCCCUGCCUGGCCGCCGGCCCCGGCUGGCGCGUGCCCGCCAGAGACCUCACAAACUCUGAAUGCUAGUGUCGUCCGAGUAACUAUACAAUCGUUAAAACUUUCAACAACGGAUCUCUUGGUUCUG